Apodemus sylvaticus (European woodmouse) is the source of this 2047-nucleotide long non-coding RNA. RefSeq lists it as uncharacterized. NCBI's taxonomy places the organism in Eukaryota, Metazoa, Chordata, Mammalia, Rodentia, Muridae. The record is from RefSeq and is a predicted model, not a curated record. The transcript has 3 exons.
UGUCAGGUGUGAGGUCAGUGGAAGACAGGCAGGGAUACUAGCCCUCUUGAGGGAAACUAGCCUGCUUGCCGCUUGCUGAUUCUGAAAAGAGCUAAGGGGAGAUCUCUAACUCAAGACUCCAGCGAGUUCAGAGUCAGCUUACAUCAGCAGGCAGACUGCCCCAGUUAUAGGGCAAACAGAGGAAACAGGGAAAGAAGGAAGACCUUCCUUUGGCCUCGGUUGACCUCUGCAGGGCUAACGGGAGGACUUUUGAGUUAGGAAUGUCAGUCAGGUGAUUACUAACCAUCUCUGGUGGCUGGCCAUUCCUGGGUUGAGAGGGAAGGGAGGAAAAAGAAAAAAAAAUCUAGAGAAACGAGUUACUUAAGUUUCAGGAACCAAAUUACUUUCUGGGAAUCAGCAUUGUUAAACCAACACGGAGUUCCUAUAUAAAACGGCCUGGGCCUGGCUAAUACCAAGUAACCUAGUAAUGUUCUUGGCCAAAUGCGUAACUGCUUCCCCACAAAGCUUUUCUCUGAAGCAUCCGCACCUCUGUGUCCUCUGCUCUGCUGGUUAGAGUUCAGAUUCCUACUUUGGCAACAAGGACUGGAUAGCUUGGCUCUCCCUACCCUGCAGCUUAUGGUGAAGAACUCUCGGCUCCUUCAGCACCGUGUCUGCCUGCUUACUGCCAUGCUUCCCCGCCCUGAUGAUAGUGAACUAAAGCUCUGGAAUUGGAUUCUCUGUUCAACCUUGGCUGUUCUGGAACUCACUGCUGUAAAUAGAUCAGGCUGGCCUCAAACGCAGAGGUCUGCCAGCCUCUGCCUCCCAAGUGCUGGGAUUAAAGGUGUGUGCCUCUACCUCCCGGCUUCAGGUUCAUUUUUAUUUUUGAUGUUUUACAUGGCGUUGCUUGGCGUGUUUUUCUUCCACUGUCCUUUGAGCUUUUAGUUGACUGAAUGAUCAUCAGCAAAUCAGGUCAUUUCUACAACCAACAUUUAGAGCUACAGAGACUCUACAGAGAGCUGGGGACGGAAAACACUUAACUGGAAGAAAGGUCGUAAGGGAUGGGAACAAGUAAAUAAUCUCGCUGAGAACACCAAGGACCAACCACAAGCCUCAUCACCACAGGGGGUAAAAGUUGACACAACCUAAUUUUGCUGGACAAUUUGAUAUGGUAUUCUAAAAUUUUAAAUGUAAUCUACUGGAAUCUGCUCCACAAACACUCCAAAAUGCAACGAUAAAUGAGAAGGCUGAACCCUGCGGCGAGGCUGAUGUUGCAUUCCAUUUGUGUUGUCUGAGAUAGGGGGAUGGAUGGUUUGAAACUCUUGCUCCUCCAGGCCCGGCUUCCCAAGGACUGAGAUGAUAGGUGAGAACCACCACACCCAGAUCCUAGAAGGUGAGUUUGAAAGAAGGAAAAAAAUAAAUAAAUAAAAUAAAAUAAAGGAGAUAGUUCAGCUGGUCACCAGAACACCUCAGGACAACUGAGAAACUGGAGAGCUGGGGAGUGUCCACAUAAUGAAACAAAAUGGAACUAGGAAAACGGAGGUGGGGCUGUGUUUUCUGCAGAAAAAGCCUCAGAAAAGGCAAGUUGCAAAAGGAUCUGCACACAUUAGGCCUGUGUCGUGGCCCAUUCAGUGACGUAGAAUGUAAGAUAGAUCAGACUCAGUCACUGAGUGUGGUGCAGGCCUGUGAUCCUACUACUUCGGAAGCUGAGGUAGGAGGAUCAGGAGUUCAAGGCCAGCGUGGACCAGUGUGAGAUCCUGACUGAGGCACAAGACAGUCCUGUCGUCACAGGCCACCCUUGUGUUGUUCUGGAUAUGUUUACCUUCCUCUCCACUCCCAGUCCUUUAUCAGCACUAAUAUCAUCUAUAUUUCUACAAUUUCAUUACUUCAGGAAUAUCCUACAGGUCUGAGAAGGUAGCUCAGUUGGUUAGGUGCUUGUCUAGCACGAAGCUUAGAGUUCGGUUCCCAGCAUCUGAUACGUUGGUCCAGUACCUGGAACGUGGAGGCAGGAGGACCAGAAGUUCAUGUUCUUAUCAGCUACAUUUCAAGUUGAAGGCCAGCUAUACUGAGA